RNAcentral lists this transfer RNA (73 nucleotides) under Ipomoea nil (Japanese morning glory). It matches the Rfam family "tRNA". Rfam says of the family: Transfer RNA (tRNA) molecules are approximately 80 nucleotides in length. Their secondary structure includes four short double-helical elements and three loops (D, anti-codon, and T loops). Further hydrogen bonds mediate the characteristic L-shaped molecular structure. tRNAs have two regions of fundamental functional importance: the anti-codon, which is responsible for specific mRNA codon recognition, and the 3' end, to which the tRNAs corresponding amino acid is attached (by aminoacyl-tRNA synthetases). tRNAs cope with the degeneracy of the genetic code in two manners: having more than one tRNA (with a specific anti-codon) for a particular amino acid; and 'wobble' base-pairing, i.e. permitting non-standard base-pairing at the 3rd anti-codon position. The record is from Rfam by way of RNAcentral. Lineage: Eukaryota; Viridiplantae; Streptophyta; Magnoliopsida; Solanales; Convolvulaceae.
GAGUUUAUAGCUUAGAGGAUAAAGCUCUUGCUUUUUAAGUUGGUGGUUAGGAGUUCAAAUCUCACUUUAACCA